This 548-nucleotide unclassified non-coding RNA is filed under the name Hevea brasiliensis (rubber tree). The record is from RNAcentral. Lineage: Eukaryota; Viridiplantae; Streptophyta; Magnoliopsida; Malpighiales; Euphorbiaceae.
GAGAAUGAAAUUCUUCCUAAUCGCCAUGGGAGCAAGCUUUAUAUACUACGCUUUUCCAGGUUACUUGCUUCAAAUCUUAUCAUUCUUCUCGUGGGUUUGUUGGGUUUGGCCCCGCAGCAUCACGGCUCAGCAAAUCGGGUCAAGUCAAAGUGGGCUUGGGCUCGGUGCUUUCAGCUUCGAUUGGGCCGGGAUUUCAGCCUACCAUGGAAGCCCACUGGUUUCGCCAUGGUUCUCAAUUCUAAAUGUUGGAGUUGGGUUUGUGAUGUUCAUUUAUAUCAUCGUCCCUGUUUGCUACUGGAAGUUCAACACCUUCGAUGCCCGCAAAUUCCCCAUUUUUUCUAAUCAGCUCUUCACCAGAACCGGCCAGAAAUAUGAUACCACCAAGGUUUUGACGCCGGAUUUUGAACUCAAUGUCGCUGCUUACAAUAGCUAUGGAAAGCUUUAUCUUAGCCCCCUUUUUGCCCUCUCCAUUGGAUCUGGUUUUGCCAGGUUUACUGCUACUCUCACCCAUGUCGCCUUGUUCCAUGGACGGGACAUAUGGAAGCAAA